This 461-nucleotide ribosomal RNA is filed under the name uncultured bacterium. RNAcentral describes it as "SSU rRNA". It matches the Rfam family "Bacterial small subunit ribosomal RNA", at positions 26 to 518 of the family's 1533-position model. The record is from RNAcentral.
AGGACUAACGCUGGCGGCGUGCCUAACACAUGCAAGUCGAACGAGAGUAGCAAUACUCUAGUGGCAGACGGGUGAGUAACACGUGGUCAACCUUCCCUAGCGUGGGGGAUAACUAGCCGAAAGGUUAGCUAAUACCGCAUGACAUCGUCGAGUGGCAUCAUUUGACGAUCAAAGGAGCAAUCCGCGCAAGGACGGGACCGCGUCCCAUUAGCUAGUUGGUGAGGUAACGGCCCACCAAGGCUUCGAUGGGUAGCUGGUUUGAGAGAGCGACCAGCCACACUGGGACUGAGACACGGCCCAGACUCCUACGGGAGGCAGCAGUGAGGAAUUUUCCGCAAUGGGCGAAAGCCUGACGGAGCGACGUCGCGUGUGGGAAGAAGGCCUUCGGUCGUAACCACUGUCGAAGGGAAGAUAUUGACGGUACCUUGGAGGAAGCCCGGCUACUACGUGCCAGCAGCCGC